UGUUACAAAUAAGUCAUUCGUAACCUGGAUCAGAGACAGCAGAUACUUUCAAAUAAGAUGCAAGUCACGAGGUCCAGCCCACACUCAAGGGUAAAGGAAUUAAGCUCCACUUUCUGGAGGGAGAGAUAUCAAAGAAAUUGUGGACAUAUGUUAAAACCACCCACUAAGUCUGAGUCUUGUUCUGUCACCCAGGCUGAAGUGCAGUGGCAUGAUCCUAGUUCACUGCAGCAUCGAACUCCUGGCCUCAAGC
Long non-coding RNA from Symphalangus syndactylus (siamang), 250 nucleotides. RefSeq lists it as uncharacterized. NCBI's taxonomy places the organism in Eukaryota, Metazoa, Chordata, Mammalia, Primates, Hylobatidae. The record is from RefSeq and is a predicted model, not a curated record.